Molecule: ribosomal RNA, 426 nt
Filed under: uncultured Rummeliibacillus sp.
Lineage: Bacteria; Bacillati; Bacillota; Bacilli; Caryophanales; Caryophanaceae
Description: bacterial SSU rRNA
Rfam family: Bacterial small subunit ribosomal RNA
Source: RNAcentral
AGGGAAUCUUCCACAAUGGUCGAAAGUCUGAUGGAGCAACGCCGCGUGCGUGAUGAAGGAUUUCGUAUCGUAAAACUGCGUUCUAAGGGAAGAACCAGUACGUCAGGCAAUGGACGUACCUUGACGGUACAUUGUUAGAAAGCGACGGAGACCUACGUGCCAGCAGCCGCGGUAAUACGUAGGUGGCAAGCGUUGUCCGGAAUUAUUGGGCGUAAAGCGCGCGCAGGUGGUUUCUUAAGUCUGAUGUGAAAGCCCACGGCUUAACCGUGGAGGCUCAUUGGAAACUGGGAGACUUGAGUGCAGAAGAGGAAAGUGGAAUUCCAAGUGUAGCGGUGAAAUGCGUAGAGAUUUGGAGGAACACCAGUGGCGAAGGCGACUUUCUGGUCUGCAACUGACGCUGAGGCGCGAAAGCAUGGGGAGCAAACA